GAUCCUGGCUCAGGAUGAACGCUGGCGGCGUGCUUAACACAUGCAAGUCGAACGGGGAUUAUUUUGACAGAGACUUCGGUUGAAGUCGUUAUAAUCCUAGUGGCGGACGGGUGAGUAACGCGUGGGUAACCUGCCUCACACUGGGGGAUAACAGUCAGAAAUGACUGCUAAUACCGCAUAAGCGCACGGGAGUUGCAUGAUCCAGUGUGAAAAACUACCGUCGGUGUGAGAUGGACCCGCCGUGG
This 245-nucleotide ribosomal RNA is filed under the name uncultured bacterium. RNAcentral's name for it is "partial 16S ribosomal RNA". It matches the Rfam family "Bacterial small subunit ribosomal RNA", at positions 15 to 238 of the family's 1533-position model. The record is from RNAcentral.